GACUACAGGGGUAUCUAAUCCUGUUUGCUCCCCACGCUUUCGUGCCUCAGCGUCAGGAAAGGCCCAGUUGCCCGUCUUCACCAUCGGCAUUCCUGUAGAUAUCUACGCAUUUCACCGCUCCACCUACAGUUCUGGCAACCCCUACCUUCCUCAAGACCCGCAGUAUGCCCAGCAGUUCCCUGGUUGAGCCAGGGGAUUUCACAAAGCACUUGCGGGCCAGCCUACGCACCCUUUAAGCCCAGUAAUUCCGAUUAACGCUCGAGACCCCUGUAUUACCGCGGCUGCUGGCACAGGGUUAGCCGUCUCUUCCUUUGGAAAUGAUCAUUGGUUCUAUUUCCUGACAGUGGUUUACACACCGAAGGCGCUUCAUCCCACACGCGGCGUCGCUCCGUCAGGCUUGCGCCCAUUGCGGAAGAUUCCUCACUGCAGCCCCCCGUAGG
RNAcentral lists this ribosomal RNA (440 nucleotides) under uncultured bacterium. RNAcentral describes it as "partial 16S ribosomal RNA". The record is from RNAcentral.